RNAcentral lists this ribosomal RNA (881 nucleotides) under uncultured bacterium. RNAcentral describes it as "bacterial SSU rRNA". It matches the Rfam family "Bacterial small subunit ribosomal RNA", at positions 31 to 885 of the family's 1533-position model. The record is from RNAcentral.
GAACGCUGGCGGCGUGGAUUAGGCAUGCAAGUCGUACGCGAAAGAGGGGGAAACCCCUCGAGUAGAGUGGCGAACGGGUGAGUAACGCGUGAGAAACCUGCCUUCAACAGGGGGAUAACACUCCCAACGGGGUGCUAAUACCGCAUGAGACCACGGGAUCGCAUGGUCCUGAGGUCAAAGGUGGCCUCUGCUUGCAAGCUACCGGUUGAAGAUGGUCUCGCGUCCCAUUAGCUAGUUGGCGGGGUAAUGGCCCACCAAGGCGACGAUGGGUAGCUGGUCUGAGAGGAUGGUCAGCCACACUGGGACUGAGAUACGGCCCAGACUCCUACGGGAGGCAGCAGUCGAGAGGCUUCGGCAAUGGGGGAAACCCUGACCGAGCGACGCCGCGUGAGGGAUGAAGGCCCUUGGGUUGUAAACCUCUUUUGUUCGGGAAGAAGUGCGAUCAGGUGAACAAUCUGGUCGUUUGACGGUACCGGACGAAUAAGCUCCGGCUAACUCCGUGCCAGCAGCCGCGGUAACACGGGGGGAGCAAGCGUUGUUCGGAAUCACUGGGCGUAAAGGGCGUGUAGGCGGCCAGGUUAGUGGGAUGUGAAAUGCCCCGGCUCACCCGGGGACCUGCAUCCCAAACUGCCUGGCUUGAGUAUGGGAGAGGAUGAGGGAAUUCCUGGUGUAGCGGUGAAAUGCGUAGAUAUCAGGAGGAACACCGGUGGCGAAAGCGCUCAUCUGGCCCAAUACUGACGCUGAGGCGCGAAAGCUAGGGGAGCAAACGGGAUUAGAUACCCCGGUAGUCCUAGCCGUAAACGGUGAGCACUAGGUGUUGGAGGCAGCGACCCCUCCAGUGCCGCAGCUAACGCAUUAAGUGCUCCGCCUGGGGAGUACGG